AUUUAAAUAGCUUAAAAAUUAAAGUUUAAUAUUGAAGAUAUUAAGAUGAUUAAAAUAAUCUUUAAAUA
RNAcentral lists this transfer RNA (68 nucleotides) under Pimpla luctuosa. Its description in RNAcentral is "tRNA-Phe". Lineage: Eukaryota; Metazoa; Arthropoda; Insecta; Hymenoptera; Ichneumonidae. The record is from RNAcentral.